CACAGACCGCAAUCAUGAUCAUUUUCAAGUAGAAUCUCAAACUGCCGUACAUCUUCGAAAACUUCGUUAGUCGUAAGGGAUCAAAGGAUGAUGUCCGUGCUGCGGAAAAUAGAUGAGAAGCGGCUAUUUCAACAACCACCGUGUGUAUUCUGUGCGGCUAAAGCAGUCACCUAAUGAAUUAUUGAGUACCAGGAAUGUUAGCGGUAAACAGGAUUGCGGCUAUGAAUGAUUCUCUAAUGUCUAUAUUAGAGAUGAAUUUGAUAAUUUAUCCUCAUAAUAUGCAAUCCGCUUUUAAGUGGAAAUCAUAAUUAACAAUUUCUGUUUGAUUAAAUAUGAAGAGCAGAUAAAUCGAUACGCUUAAAUCAA
Bombus huntii is the source of this 366-nucleotide long non-coding RNA. RefSeq lists it as uncharacterized. The record is from RefSeq and is a predicted model, not a curated record. Lineage: Eukaryota; Metazoa; Arthropoda; Insecta; Hymenoptera; Apidae. The transcript is spliced from 2 exons.